This 250-nucleotide ribosomal RNA is filed under the name uncultured bacterium. Its description in RNAcentral is "partial 16S ribosomal RNA". It matches the Rfam family "Bacterial small subunit ribosomal RNA", at positions 28 to 260 of the family's 1533-position model. The record is from RNAcentral.
GACGAACGCUGGCGGCGCGCUUAACACAUGCAAGUCGAGCGAUGAAACUUUAACAGAACCCUUCGGGGCGAAGAUAAGUGGAUUAGCGGCGGACGGGUGAGUAACACGUGAGUAACCUGCCUUAGACAUUGGGAUAGCCUCGGGAAACCGGGAUUAAUACCAAAUAAAAUCAUAAUGACACAUGUCAUAACGAUCAAAACUCCGGUGGUCUAAGAUGGACUCGCGUCCCAUUAGCUAGUUGGUAGAGUAA